RNAcentral lists this ribosomal RNA (675 nucleotides) under Christiangramia sp. RNAcentral's name for it is "bacterial SSU rRNA". It matches the Rfam family "Bacterial small subunit ribosomal RNA", at positions 77 to 750 of the family's 1533-position model. The record is from RNAcentral. Lineage: Bacteria; Pseudomonadati; Bacteroidota; Flavobacteriia; Flavobacteriales; Flavobacteriaceae.
UUGCUUUUCCGCUGACGAGUGGCGCACGGGUGCGUAACGCGUAUACAAUCUGCCUUCAAGCGGGGAAUAGCCCAUGGAAACGUGGAUUAAUACCCCAUAGUAUAUAGACAUCACCUGGUGACUAUAUUAAACAUUUAUGGCUUGAAGAUGAGUAUGCGUCCUAUUAGCUAGAUGGUGUGGUAACGGCACACCAUGGCUACGAUAGGUAGGGGUCCUGAGAGGGAGAUCCCCCACACUGGUACUGAGACACGGACCAGACUCCUACGGGAGGCAGCAGUGAGGAAUAUUGGACAAUGGAGGCAACUCUGAUCCAGCCAUGCCGCGUGCAGGAAGACGGCCCUAUGGGUUGUAAACUGCUUUUAUACGGGAAGAACCACAUCUACGUGUAGAUGCUUGACGGUACCGUAUGAAUAAGGACCGGCUAACUCCGUGCCAGCAGCCGCGGUAAUACGGAGGGUCCGAGCGUUAUCCGGAAUCAUUGGGUUUAAAGGGUCCGUAGGCGGAAUAAUAAGUCAGUGGUGAAAGUCUGCAGCUUAACUGUAGAAUUGCCAUUGAUACUGUUGUUCUUGAAUUAUUAUGAAGUGGUUGGAAUGAGUAGUGUAGCGGUGAAAUGCAUAGAUAUUACUCAGAACACCUAUUGCGAAGGCAGAUCACUAAUAAUAUAUUGACGCUGAG